ACUACGGGUGGCAGCAGUGGGGAAUAUUGGACAAUGGGGGGAACCCUGAUCCAGCGACGCCGCGUGAGUGAAGAAGUAUUUCGGUAUGUAAAGCUCUAUCAGCAGGGAAGAAAAUGACGGUACUUGACUAAGAAGCCCCGGCUAACUACGUGCCAGCAGCCGCGGUAAUACGUAGGGGGCAAGCGUUAUCCGGAUUUACUGGGUGUAAAGGGAGCGUAGACGGUGCAGCAAGUCUGAUGUGAAAGGGCGGGGCCCAACCCCGGGACUGCAUUGGAAACUGUUGAACUGGAGUACAGGAGAGGUAAGCGGAAUUCCUAGUGUAGCGGUGAAAUGCGUAGAUAUUAGGAGGAACACCAGUGGCGAAGGCGGCUUACUGGACUGUAACUGACGUUGAGGCUCGAAAGCGUGGGGAGCAAACAGGAUUAGAUACCCCGGUAGUC
Molecule: ribosomal RNA, 440 nt
Filed under: uncultured bacterium
Lineage: Bacteria
Description: partial 16S ribosomal RNA
Rfam family: Bacterial small subunit ribosomal RNA
Source: RNAcentral